AACGAACGCUGGCGGCAUGCCUAACACAUGCAAGUCGAACGAGACCUUCGGGUCUAGUGGCGCACGGGUGCGUAACGCGGGGUAACCUGCCCUUAGGUUCGGAAUAACUCCCCGAAAGGGGUGCUAAUACCGGAUAAUGUCUUCGGACCAAAGAUGUAUCGCCUUUGGAUGGGCCCGCGUUGGUUUAGCUAGUUGGUAGGGUAAAAGCCUACCAAGGAGACGAUCCAUAGCUGGUCGGAGAGGAUGAUCAGCUACACUGGGACUGAGACACGGCCCAGACUCGUACGGAAGGGAGCAGUGGGGAAUAUUGGACAAUGGGCGAAAGUCUGAUCAAGCCAUGCCGCGGGAGUGAUGAAGGGCUUAGGGUUGUAAAGCUCUUUUACCCGGGAUGAUAAUGACAGUACCGGGAGAAUAAGCUCCGGCUAACUACGUG
RNAcentral lists this ribosomal RNA (433 nucleotides) under uncultured bacterium. RNAcentral describes it as "partial 16S ribosomal RNA". It matches the Rfam family "Bacterial small subunit ribosomal RNA", at positions 29 to 507 of the family's 1533-position model. The record is from RNAcentral.